CAGCCGCCGCGGUAAUACGAAGGGGGCUAGCGUUGCUCGGAAUUACUGGGCGUAAGGGCGCGUAGGCGGACAGCUUAGUCAGAGGUGAAAGCCCAGGGCUCAACCUUGGAACUGCCUUUGAUACUGGCUGUCUUGAGUUCGGGAGAGGUGAGUGGAACGCCGAGUGUAGAGGUGAAAUUCGUAGAUAUUCGGCGGAACACCAGUGGCGAAGGCGACUCACCGGCCCGAUACUGACGCUGAGGCGCGAAAGCGUGGGGAGCAAACAGGAUUAGAUACCCGGGUAGUCCCUGUCUCUUAUACA
Molecule: ribosomal RNA, 301 nt
Filed under: uncultured bacterium
Lineage: Bacteria
Description: partial 16S ribosomal RNA
Rfam family: Bacterial small subunit ribosomal RNA
Source: RNAcentral